This 22-nucleotide unclassified non-coding RNA is filed under the name Mus musculus (house mouse). RNAcentral's name for it is "oocyte_clustered_small_RNA5943". Lineage: Eukaryota; Metazoa; Chordata; Mammalia; Rodentia; Muridae. The record is from RNAcentral.
UUCACAAUCAAAAUAGCAAUAG